AAUAGAUACCCUGGUAGUCCACGCCGUAAACGAUGGGCACUAGGUGUGGGAGGUGUCGACUCCUUCCGUGCCGAAGCUAACGCAUUAAGUGCCCCGCCUGGGGAGUACGGCCGCAAGGCUAAAACUCAAAGGAAUUGACGGGGGGCCCGCACAAGCAGCGGAGCAUGUGGUUUAAUUCGGCGCAACGCGAAGAACCUUACCUGGGCUUGACAUGUUCCUGACAGGUGUGGAAACACACCCUCCCUUCGGGGCAGGAUCACAGGUGGUGCAUGGCUGUCGUCGGCUCGUGUCGUGAGAUGUUGGGUUAAGUCCCGCAACGAGCGCAACCCCUGUCGCAUGUUGCCAGCAUUUAGUUGGGGACUCAUGCGAGACUGCCGGUGACAAACCGGAGGAAGGUGGGGAUGACGUCAAGUCAUCAUGCCCCUUAUGUCCAGGGCUACACACGUGCUACAUUGGCCGGUACAAAGGGCUGCGGUACCGCGAGGUGGAGCGAAUCCCAUAAACGCCGGUCUCGGUUCGGAUUGGAGGCUGAAACUCG
RNAcentral lists this ribosomal RNA (538 nucleotides) under uncultured bacterium. Its description in RNAcentral is "bacterial SSU rRNA". It matches the Rfam family "Bacterial small subunit ribosomal RNA", at positions 777 to 1314 of the family's 1533-position model. The record is from RNAcentral.